Non-coding RNA from Acanthosepion pharaonis, 112 nucleotides. The record is from the annotation of a GenBank genome assembly. NCBI's taxonomy places the organism in Eukaryota, Metazoa, Mollusca, Cephalopoda, Sepiida, Sepiidae.
UUACGGCCACAUCGCGUUAAAACACCGGUUCCCGUACGAUCACCGACGUUAAGCAAUGUCGAGCUUCGUCAAUACCUAGACGGGUGACCGUUUGAGAAUACGAGCUGCGGUA